This is a long non-coding RNA of Triticum dicoccoides, 627 nucleotides long. RefSeq lists it as uncharacterized. Lineage: Eukaryota; Viridiplantae; Streptophyta; Magnoliopsida; Poales; Poaceae. The transcript has 3 exons. The record is from RefSeq and is a predicted model, not a curated record.
GUCAGCUUCUGUAAGAUGUUGUUUGUCCAAGGUUAUGACAAGCCAGGGGCUCUUCUCAACUUCUGGUGAUUUAUGCGAUGCAUGAGGAGAAUCGGGUUGUUGCCCACAGCACGCUGCAACGACGUCUUCUUCUCCUCUCUUCGCGGGUGCUCGCCGGUCCACGCUGCCACCCAUCAAUGUUGACAAGUCACCAUCUAAAAGGUUGUCCGAGGAGAAACUGCUGGUUUCAAACGCUAGCAAGCUCCUGGCAUGCACAAGAUAGAAGUGGAAAGGCUAUUGCUGCUCCAUGCUCCCGGCUUGACUUAAAUAUAUGGACCUGAUUAUCCCAUUGGCUCCUGGCAUGGACAAGACAGAAGUGGGAAGGCUAUUGCUGCUCCAUGCUCCCGGCUUGACUUAAAUAUAUGGACCUGAUUAUCCUGUUGGAAUUAAUCAUUCUUGUUGUGGCAGCUACAUAUUAAUCUAGUUCUAGUCUCUAAUCUUUAUACUGCACAUGCCUUCUGUAUGUUGAAUUAGUUUCCUAUCUAGUUCAAUGUAGAUUCUAAUGCUAGCUCCUAGACUUGUGUUCAAGUGUCUUUCAUUUAACAAAUGAGUGCAAAGAAGGCCACUGGAUCCGCUAGAAAUCGUUUG